This 403-nucleotide ribosomal RNA is filed under the name bacterium. RNAcentral describes it as "partial 16S ribosomal RNA". It matches the Rfam family "Bacterial small subunit ribosomal RNA", at positions 355 to 776 of the family's 1533-position model. The record is from RNAcentral.
UGGGGAAUAUUGCACAAUGGAGGGAACUCUGAUGCAGCGACGCCGCGUGAACGAAGAAGGCUUUCGAGUCGUAAAGUUCUUUUAUAUGGGAAGAUAAUGACGGUACCAUAAGAAAAAGCCCCGGCUAACUACGUGCCAGCAGCCGCGGUAAUACGUAGGGGGCUAGCGUUGUCCGGAAUCACUGGGCGAAAAGGGUUCGCAGGCGGAAAUGCAAGUCAGGUGUAAAAGGCAGUAGCUUAACUACUGUAAGCAUUUGAAACUGCAUAUCUUGAGAAGAGUAGAGGUAAGUGGAAUUUUUAGUGUAGCGGUGAAAUGCGUAGAUAUUAAAAAGAAUACCGGUGGCGAAGGCGACUUACUGGGCUCAUUCUGACGCUGAGGAACAAAAGCGUGGGUAGCAAACAGG